UGUCGUCAGCUCGUGUCGUGAGAUGUUGGGUUAAGUCCCGCAACNANCGCAACCCUCAUCCUUAGUUACCAUCAGGUAAUGCUGGGGACUUUAAGGAAACUGCCAGUGAUAAACUGGAGGAAGGUGGGGAUGAUGUCAAGUCAUCAUGGCCCUUAUGGAGUGGGCUACACACGUGCUACAAUGGUGGCUACAAUGGGCUGCAAAGUCGCGAGGCUAAGCUAAUCCCUUAAAAGCCAUCUCAGUUCGGAUUGUACUCUGCAACUCGAGUGCAUGAAGUUGGAAUCGCUAGUAAUCGUGGAUCAGCACGCCACGGUGAAUACGUUCUCGGGUCUUGUACACACUGCCCGUCACGCCAUGGGAAUUG
Molecule: ribosomal RNA, 364 nt
Filed under: Wolbachia pipientis
Lineage: Bacteria; Pseudomonadati; Pseudomonadota; Alphaproteobacteria; Rickettsiales; Anaplasmataceae
Description: bacterial SSU rRNA
Rfam family: Bacterial small subunit ribosomal RNA
Source: RNAcentral